Molecule: ribosomal RNA, 651 nt
Filed under: uncultured archaeon
Lineage: Archaea
Description: bacterial SSU rRNA
Rfam family: Archaeal small subunit ribosomal RNA
Source: RNAcentral
CAUAGGUUUAGGGCACUGGAAGGUCCNUAAACCGAAAGGGGCUCUGCCCGCCCGAGGAUGGGCCGGCGGCCGAUUAGGUAGUUGGUGGGGUAACGGCCCACCAAGCCCAUAAUCGGUACGGGCAGUGAGAGCUGGAGCCCGGAGAUGGACACUGAGACACGGGUCCAGGCCCUACGGGGCGCAGCAGGCGCGAAACCUCCGCAAUGCUCGAAAGAGCGACGGGGGGACCCCAAGUGCCGUGGUACAACCACGGCUUUUCCGGAGUGUAAGAAGCUCCGGGAAUAAGGGCUGGGCAAGGCCGGUGGCAGCCGCCGCGGUAAUACCGGCGGCCCGAGUGGUGGCCACUAUUAUUGGGCCUAAAGCGUCCGUAGCCGGGCUUGUAAGUCCCUGGCGAAAUCCCACGGCUCAACCGUGGGGCUUGCUGGGGAUACUGCAAGCCUUGGGACCGGGAGAGGCCGGGGGUACUCCUGGGGUAGGGGUGAAAUCCUAUAAUCCCAGGAGGACCGCCAGUGGCGAAGGCGCCCGGCUGGAACGGGUCCGACGGUGAGGGACGAAGGCCAGGGGAGCAAACCGGAUUAGAUACCCGGGUAGUCCUGGCUGUAAAGGAUGCGGGCUAGGUGUUGCUUGGACCUCGAGUCCAAGCAGUGCCGC